GAUGAGAACCUCCGGGGGCAGAGGUUCGACCCGAGCGAAGCGAGAGAACGUUGCGCCAGCAACGGCCCGCAGGGCGAGUCACGCAGUGGCGAGUCAUC
Molecule: small RNA, 98 nt
Filed under: Kosakonia pseudosacchari
Lineage: Bacteria; Pseudomonadati; Pseudomonadota; Gammaproteobacteria; Enterobacterales; Enterobacteriaceae
Description: RtT sRNA
Rfam family: RtT RNA
About the family: This family represents a bacterial cis-regulatory element known as RtT RNA. The exact function of RtT is unknown although it is thought that it may be involved in changing the cellular response in relation to amino acid starvation.
Source: RNAcentral